Molecule: ribosomal RNA, 1008 nt
Filed under: uncultured bacterium
Lineage: Bacteria
Description: bacterial SSU rRNA
Rfam family: Bacterial small subunit ribosomal RNA
Source: RNAcentral
GGGGAAUAUUGCACAAUGGGGGAAACCCUGAUGCAGCAACGCCGCGUGAAGGAUGACGGUUUUCGGAUUGUAAACUUCUUUUCUUAGUGACGAAGACAGUGACGGUAGCUAAGGAAUAAGCAUCGGCUAACUACGUGCCAGCAGCCGCGGUAAUACGUAGGAUGCAAGCGUUAUCCGGAUUUACUGGGUGUAAAGGGAGCGCAGGCGGGACUGCAAGUUGGAUGUGAAAUACCGUGGCUUAACCACGGAACUGCAUCCAAAACUGUAGUUCUUGAGUGAAGUAGAGGCAAGCGGAAUUCCGAGUGUAGCGGUGAAAUGCGUAGAUAUUCGGAGGAACACCAGUGGCGAAGGCGGCUUGCUGGGCUUUAACUGACGCUGAGGCUCGAAAGUGUGGGGAGCAAACAGGAUUAGAUACCCUGGUAGUCCACACUGUAAACGAUGAUAGCUAGGUGUGGGGGGUCUGACCCCUUCCGUGCCGGAGUUAACGCAAUAAGCUAUCCACCUGGGGAGUACGACCGCAAGGUUGAAACUCAAAGGAAUUGACGGGGGCCCGCACAAGCAGUGGAUUAUGUGGUUUAAUUCGAAGCAACGCGAAGAACCUUACCAGGUCUUGACAUCCGACUAACGAGAUAGAGAUAUGUCAGGUGCCCUUCGGGGAAAGUCGAGACAGGUGGUGCAUGGUUGUCGUCAGCUCGUGUCGUGAGAUGUUGGGUUAAGUCCCGCAACGAGCGCAACCCCUAUCUUUAGUAGCCAGCAUUUCAGGUGGGCACUCUAGAGAGACUGCCAGGGAUAACCUGGAGGAAGGUGGGGACGACGUCAAAUCAUCAUGCCCCUUAUGACCAGGGCUACACACGUGCUACAAUGGCGUAAACAGAGGGAAGCAGCCUCGUGAGAGUGAGCAAAUCCCAAAAAUAACGUCUCAGUUCGGAUUGUAGUCUGCAACUCGACUACAUGAAGCUGGAAUCGCUAGUAAUCGCGAAUCAGAAUGUCGCGGUGAAUACGUCCCCG